UAGUCAUAUGCUUGUCUCAAAGACUAACCCUUGCAUGUCUAAGUUUAAGCGAUUUAAACGGGGAGACUGCGGACGGCUCAUUAUAUCAGUUAUAGUUUAUUUGAUGGCCGAUUACUACAAGGAUAACCGUAGGAAUUCUAGAGCUAAUACUUGCACUUCAAACUGAUUUUUCAGUUGCACUUAUUAAAUUUACCACCAAUGCUCUUCGGAGCUUCGGUGAUUCAUAGUAAUUUAGCGAAUCGCUACGGCUUCGGCCGCGACGCUUCAUUCAAAUUUCUGCCCUAUCAGCUUUCGAUGGUAGUGUAUGGGACUACCAUGGCUUUGACGGGUAACGGAAAAUUAGGGUUCUAUUCCGGAGAGGGAGCCUGAAAAACGGCUACCACAUCUAAGGAAGGCAGCAGGCGCGCAAAUUACCCAAUCCCAACGCGGGGAGGUAGUGACAAGAAAUAACAACAACUAACCUAUUUCAGGUGAGUUGAUUGGAAUGAGUACAAUCUAAACACCUUAACGACUAUCCAUG
RNAcentral lists this ribosomal RNA (520 nucleotides) under uncultured eukaryote. RNAcentral describes it as "SSU rRNA". It matches the Rfam family "Eukaryotic small subunit ribosomal RNA", at positions 21 to 549 of the family's 1831-position model. The record is from RNAcentral.